Molecule: ribosomal RNA, 2194 nt
Filed under: Klebsiella pneumoniae
Lineage: Bacteria; Pseudomonadati; Pseudomonadota; Gammaproteobacteria; Enterobacterales; Enterobacteriaceae
Description: bacterial LSU rRNA
Rfam family: Bacterial large subunit ribosomal RNA
Source: RNAcentral
UGUGAACUCGAAGAGUAGGGCGGGACACGUGGUAUCCUGUCUGAAUAUGGGGGGACCAUCCUCCAAGGCUAAAUACUCCUGACUGACCGAUAGUGAACCAGUACCGUGAGGGAAAGGCGAAAAGAACCCCGGCGAGGGGAGUGAAAAAGAACCUGAAACCGUGUACGUACAAGCAGUGGGAGCACCUUCGGGUGUGACUGCGUACCUUUUGUAUAAUGGGUCAGCGACUUAUAUUCUGUAGCAAGGUUAACCGUAUAGGGGAGCCGCAGGGAAACCGAGUCUUAACUGGGCGUUAAGUUGCAGGGUAUAGACCCGAAACCCGGUGAUCUAGCCAUGGGCAGGUUGAAGGUUGGGUAACACUAACUGGAGGACCGAACCGACUAAUGUUGAAAAAUUAGCGGAUGACUUGUGGCUGGGGGUGAAAGGCCAAUCAAACCGGGAGAUAGCUGGUUCUCCCCGAAAGCUAUUUAGGUAGCGCCUCGUGAACUCAUCUUCGGGGGUAGAGCACUGUUUCGGCUAGGGGGUCAUCCCGACUUACCAACCCGAUGCAAACUACGAAUACCGAAGAAUGUUAUCACGGGAGACACACGGCGGGUGCUAACGUCCGUCGUGAAGAGGGAAACAACCCAGUGGAGGUAUCAGAAGUGCGAAUGCUGACAUAAGUAACGAUAAAGCGGGUGAAAAGCCCGCUCGCCGGAAGACCAAGGGUUCCUGUCCAACGUUAAUCGGGGCAGGGUGAGUCGACCCCUAAGGCGAGGCCGAAAGGCGUAGUCGAUGGGAAACAGGUUAAUAUUCCUGUACUUGGUGUUACUGCGAAGGGGGGACGGAGAAGGCUAUGUUAGCCGGGCGACGGUUGUCCCGGUUUAAGCAUGUAGGCUGGUUAUCCAGGCAAAUCCGGAUAACCAAGGCUGAGGUGUGAUGACGAGGCACUACGGUGCUGAAGUAACAAAUGCCCUGCUUCCAGGAAAAGCCUCUAAGCAUCAGGUAACAUCAAAUCGUACCCCAAACCGACACAGGUGGUCAGGUAGAGAAUACCAAGGCGCUUGAGAGAACUCGGGUGAAGGAACUAGGCAAAAUGGUGCCGUAACUUCGGGAGAAGGCACGCUGGUGUGUAGGUGAAGUCCCUGCGGAUGGAGCUGAGACCAGUCGAAGAUACCAGCUGGCUGCAACUGUUUAUUAAAAACACAGCACUGUGCAAACACGAAAGUGGACGUAUACGGUGUGACGCCUGCCCGGUGCCGGAAGGUUAAUUGAUGGGGUUAUCCGUAAGGAGAAGCUCUUGAUCGAAGCCCCGGUAAACGGCGGCCGUAACUAUAACGGUCCUAAGGUAGCGAAAUUCCUUGUCGGGUAAGUUCCGACCUGCACGAAUGGCGUAAUGAUGGCCAGGCUGUCUCCACCCGAGACUCAGUGAAAUUGAACUCGCUGUGAAGAUGCAGUGUACCCGCGGCAAGACGGAAAGACCCCGUGAACCUUUACUAUAGCUUGACACUGAACAUUGAGCCUUGAUGUGUAGGAUAGGUGGGAGGCUUUGAAGCGUGGACGCCAGUCUGCGUGGAGCCAACCUUGAAAUACCACCCUUUAAUGUUUGAUGUUCUAACGUUGGCCCCUGACCGGGGUUGCGGACAGUGUCUGGUGGGUAGUUUGACUGGGGCGGUCUCCUCCCAAAGCGUAACGGAGGAGCACGAAGGUUAGCUAAUCCUGGUCGGACAUCAGGAGGUUAGUGCAAUGGCAUAAGCUAGCUUGACUGCGAGCGUGACGGCGCGAGCAGGUGCGAAAGCAGGUCAUAGUGAUCCGGUGGUUCUGAAUGGAAGGGCCAUCGCUCAACGGAUAAAAGGUACUCCGGGGAUAACAGGCUGAUACCGCCCAAGAGUUCAUAUCGACGGCGGUGUUUGGCACCUCGAUGUCGGCUCAUCACAUCCUGGGGCUGAAGUAGGUCCCAAGGGUAUGGCUGUUCGCCAUUUAAAGUGGUACGCGAGCUGGGUUUAGAACGUCGUGAGACAGUUCGGUCCCUAUCUGCCGUGGGCGCUGGAGAAUUGAGGGGGGCUGCUCCUAGUACGAGAGGACCGGAGUGGACGCAUCACUGGUGUUCGGGUUGUCAUGCCAAUGGCACUGCCCGGUAGCUAAAUGCGGAAGAGAUAAGUGCUGAAAGCAUCUAAGCACGAAACUUGCCCCGAGAUGAGUUCUCCCUGAGACU